Molecule: ribosomal RNA, 429 nt
Filed under: Bacteroidota bacterium
Lineage: Bacteria; Pseudomonadati; Bacteroidota
Description: Bacteroidetes bacterium partial 16S ribosomal RNA
Rfam family: Bacterial small subunit ribosomal RNA
Source: RNAcentral
UAGGGAAUCUUCCGCAAUGGACGCAAGUCUGACGGAGCAACGCCGCGUGAGUGAAGAAGGAUUUCGGUUCGUAAAACUCUGUUGUUAGAGAAGAACAGCGCAUAGAGUAACUGUUAUGCGUGUGACGGUAUCUAACCAGAAAGCCACGGCUCACUACGUGCCAGCAGCCGCGGUAAUACGUAGGUGGCAAGCGUUGUCCGGAUUUAUUGGGCGUAAAGCGAGCGCAGGCGGUCAAUUAAGUCUGAUGUGAAAGCCCCCGGCUCAACCGGGGAGGGUCAUUGGAAACUGGUUGACUUGAGGGCAGAAGAGGAGAGUGGAAUUCCAUGUGUAGCGGUGAAAUGCGUAGAUAUAUGGGGGAACACCAGUGGCGAAGGCGACUCUCUGGUCUGUAACUGACGCUGAGGUUCGAAAGCGUGGGUAGCAAACAGG